CACGUAGGGCGCAAGCGUUGUCCGGAAUUAUUGGGCGUAAAGAGCUCGUAGGCGGUCUGUUGCGUCCGCUGUGAAAACCCGGGGCUUAACCCCUGGCUUGCAGUGGAUACGGACAGACUAGAGGUAGGUAGGGGAGACUGGAAUUCCUGGUGUAGCGGUGAAAUGCGCAGAUAUCAGGAGGAACACCGGUGGCGAAGGCGGCAUCCUGGACCGGUAUUGACGCUGAUGCGCGAAAGCCAGGGGAGCAAACGGG
This 253-nucleotide ribosomal RNA is filed under the name uncultured bacterium. RNAcentral's name for it is "partial 16S ribosomal RNA". It matches the Rfam family "Bacterial small subunit ribosomal RNA", at positions 524 to 776 of the family's 1533-position model. The record is from RNAcentral.